Molecule: non-coding RNA, 3070 nt
Organism: Nicotiana tabacum (common tobacco)
Lineage: Eukaryota; Viridiplantae; Streptophyta; Magnoliopsida; Solanales; Solanaceae
Source: RefSeq, a predicted model, not a curated record
UCUUCCUCAGAAUAUUCCUUUUUCUAAUCUCUUUCUCUCUCUCUCUAGACUAUUGUUUCUUCAUUUCUCUCUCUUCUUUCUCUGUUGUUAUAUAUACAAGUUUUGUUGUAUACAAACUUCGUUGUGAAGCUAUGUCGAUUGCGUUGGAGAGGAAUAAUACAGCUGAUCGUCAGAUCGAACGGUCAGGAUUCGUGCACGGAAUGGCGUUUAUUCCGAUCUAUAAGUCGGCAGAUCUUAGGGUUCAGGCGAAGCAGGAAAAUGAGGAUGAUCGGACCUCUUCCUCGUCUUCUUCUUCUUCGAUUGGUAGGAAUAGUGAUGACUCGCCGGCGGCGGGAGAUGCUUCGUCGGACGGCGACGGCGAGGAGGUUCAGAGUCCUUUCAAACCUGCUGGUGCUUUGGAUAAUUUGGAGGCUUUAGAGGAGGUUUUGCCAAUAAAGAGGGGCAUAUCAAAUUUUUACGCUGGAAAAUCAAAAUCAUUUACUAGUCUAGCAGAUGCAGCAUCAUGUUCCUCGCUUAAAGAUAUGGUCAAGCCAGAGAAUGCAUUCACUAGGAAACGCAAGAACUUGCUUGCUCACAACAAUUUCUUUGACAAGAAUCGGAAUCACUUCCCAAGAAAUUAUAGUGGUGGGUUAUACAAGAGACCGAUAAACUCUAGAAGCUCAUUAGCUCUUGGUGCAACCUCAAGCUGCUCUGAGAGCAAUAACAGCUCCGAGUCUUUGAACUCAAAUCCAUCAUCACCUCAUUUCCCUCUUCCUCCUUUGCCUCCGCAAUCAAGAAGAUAUAGCAAUGAGUCAUCAUCAUCACCUCCUGAACAGAAGUUUAGUGCAUGGAGGUCUUUCUCCUUAUCGGAUCUGCAAGGGACUGCUGCUUCAACUCCCAGUCUCACGGGCAUAAAGGAAUAGAGAAGAUAUCUUGACAGUAACUUAAUUUUGUUGUCACCCUAUGAGCCUAACUUCAUAUAGGUUUCAAUGGAGGUUGGCUUAUUUUAGCAGUUAUAGGCUUCAGUCUCGCACCCUGCCUCUGUAAUUAUUGAUCAAGGCAUACCAAAUCUUGGCAUCUUAAGAAUGGAGGAGACCUGGUGGCCGUGGGAAUAAAAGAUUACUUGGUUUUGCUUGCUGACACCAUCAUAUCCUUACUCUAGGUGUAAGCUUGAGCAUGUUUUCUAGAAUUUAUUUUGACACUACCCAAUCAUCGUAGUUUGAUAGUCUGACUAACAAGUUUGCGGCAGCAUGUUGUGGUUGACGAGUAGACCAAUGGAUUCCCAGCUUGAGACGUUCAAAGGUUUAAUCACUACCAACGUGAGUUGGCAUGGCUGCAAAACCUUUUCAAAUCACAGUUGAGGAAUUCAGACUUUACCAUACGAUUGACCGAGCACUUUAUUCUCUCCUUGUUGUUGAGCUUCAGCGUGAUCCUUUGGAGUCAAUGCAGACAUUGGCAUUGUGGAUUUGGUUGGAGCGAACACGUUUCAACGAUAUUAUCAGGAAGAUCUUGUCCUUACCUCAAUUUUCGAUUACUGAGCUUGCUGAUGAGGCUAUAACCUGCCUCAAAUGCAUUGAGGACAACCGGUUCCUGCUCUCAACUGACGCAGGUGAGAUUCCGCUAACUCAAAGUCUCAUGGCAAAAGAGUUCUCCCUCCUGUUUUUCCAUGAAAAUCGGGACAGUGCCACCAGUGGGAUUAGGAAGAUUGUUACUGAGGUUUGUCUCAAGGCAUUGACAGAUAUCAUGGAGAAAGCCUUGAAGAGAGGUUCUGAACAAACUUUGACGGAAAGCAAAAUGGCGAUGGUGGCACCUCUUGCUGAGUCAUUCUUGAUAGAAAGAAUUGCUCAAUUGGGACUUGGGAGUGACGCGUCUCCUAAGAGGACGAAGGGACACGGCGUACCAUGUGAAGAACGGACCAUGUUUGUUACUUUUUCCAAGGGAUACCCUGUUGCUGAAGUUGAAAUCAGGGAAUUCUUCAGUAGGAUUUUUGGAGACUGCAUAGAGUGCAUUCACAUGCAGGAGGUUUAAUAACUACCAACGUGAGUUGGCAUGGCUGCAAAACCUUUUCAAAUCACAGUUGAGGAAUUCAGACUUUUCCAUACAAUUGACCGAGCACUUUAUUCUCUCCUUGUUAUUGAGCUUCAGCGUGAUCCUUUGGAGUCGAUGCAGACAUUGGCAUUGUGGAUUUGGUUGGAACGAACACGUUUCAACGAUAUUAUCAGAAAGAUCUUGUCCUUACCUCAAUUUUUGAUUAAUGAACUUGCUGACGAGGCUGUAACCUGCCUCAAAUGCAUUGAAGACAGCCAAUCCCUUCUCUCAACUGAUGCAAGUGAGAUUCCGCUAACUCAAAGCCUCAUGGCAAAAGAGUUCUCCCUCCUAUUUUUCCAUGAAAAUCGGGACAGCGCCACCAGCGGGAUUAGGAAGAUUGUUACUGAGGUUUGUCUCAAGGCAUUGACAGAUAUCAUGGAGAAAGCCUUGAAGAGAAGUUCUGAACAAACUUUGACGGAAAGCGAAGUGUCGAUGGUGGCACCUCUUGCUGAGUCAUUCUUGAUAGAAAGAAUUGCUCAAUUGGGACUUGGAAGCGACGCGUCUCCUAAGAGGACGAAGGGACGCGACGUACCACGUGAAGAACGGACCAUGUUUGUUACUUUUUCCAAGGGAUACCCUGUUGCUGAAGUUGAAAUCAGGGAAUUCUUCACUAGGAUUUUUGGAGACUGCAUAGAGUGCAUUCACAUGCAGGAGGUGAAGUCCCAUGAACAAGCUCUUUAUGCUCGAAUCGUGUUUGUUACGCCUGCAAUUAUAGAUUUUAUUCUCAAUGAUGUGCCUAAAGCUAAGUUUACUAUCAACGGUAAGCAUGUGUGGAUGCGAAAAUUUGUCCCGAAAAAUGGAAACUCUUCCCUCCCAUACAUGCUGCCUCAGAAUCUGCCUGAAACUAUUUAGUCCUUUUUUUCUGUAUGUUUAUCUUUCUGAGAAUGGAGUUAGAAGAAAUCCUGUUUUCAGUUUGUAGUCCCUGCAGUCCAACUUAAGGACCCUAAAAUUAUGAUGCAGUGAAAUGGUUUUCUUAUAGCAAUGAAAACAAGUCUCUUUUUAA